Molecule: ribosomal RNA, 442 nt
Filed under: uncultured bacterium
Lineage: Bacteria
Description: bacterial SSU rRNA
Rfam family: Bacterial small subunit ribosomal RNA
Source: RNAcentral
AGAGUUUGAUCCUGGCUCAGAUUGAACGCUGGCGGCAUGCCUUACACAUGCAAGUCGAACGGCAGCACGGGGGUAACCCUGGUGGCGAGUGGCGAACGGGUGAGUAAUACAUCGGAACGUGUCCUGUAGUGGGGGAUAGCCCGGCGAAAGCCGGAUUAAUACCGCAUACGAUCUACGGAAGAAAGCGGGGGAUCGCAAGACCCCCGCGCUAUAGGGGCGGCCGAUGGCAGAUUAGCUAGUUGGUGGGGUAAAGGCCUACCAAGGCGACGAUCUGUAGCUGGUCUGAGAGGACGACCAGCCACACUGGGACUGAGACACGGCCCAGACUCCUACGGGAGGCAGCAGUGGGGAAUUUUGGACAAUGGGGGAAACCCUGAUCCAGCAAUGCCGCGUGUGUGAAGAAGGCCUUCGGGUUGUAAAGCACUUUUGUCCGGAAAGAAAA